RNAcentral lists this ribosomal RNA (497 nucleotides) under uncultured bacterium. Its description in RNAcentral is "partial 16S ribosomal RNA". It matches the Rfam family "Bacterial small subunit ribosomal RNA", at positions 28 to 507 of the family's 1533-position model. The record is from RNAcentral.
GAUGAACGCUAGCGGCGUGCCUAAUACAUGCAAGUCGAGCGAACAGACGAGGAGCUUGCUCCUCUGACGUUAGCGGCGAACGGGUGAGUAACACGUGGAUAACCUACCUAUAAGACUGGGAUAACUUCGUGAAACCGGAGCUAAUACCGGAUAACAUGUUGAACCGCAUGGUACAACAGUGAAAGACGAUCUUGCUAUCACUUCUAGAUGGAUCGUCGCCGCAUUAGCUAGUUGGGAAGGUAACGGCUUACCAAGGCAACGACGCGUAGCCGACCUGAGAGGAGAGGCGUGUCCACCGGAACGGUAACGAGAUCCGGACCAGUAUGGGAGGCGAGGGAGGGGUGUAUACCAUAGUGGACGGAUGCGUAGAGUGACACCGCCACGCGGGGUGUAAAGUUCUGGGGUUCUUAAUUCUCUGCUAUUUGGGAAAAACAAGUGUAUAAGUAACGAGGAACGUGUUGACGGUACCUAAUGAGAAAGCCACGGCUAACUACGUG